UUUUUACAAUGGAGAGUUUGAUCCUGGCUCAGGAUGAACGCUAGCGGCAGGCCUAAUACAUGCAAGUCGGACGGGAUUCCGGUGUAGCUUGCUACGCCG
Molecule: ribosomal RNA, 99 nt
Filed under: Sphingobacterium chuzhouense
Lineage: Bacteria; Pseudomonadati; Bacteroidota; Sphingobacteriia; Sphingobacteriales; Sphingobacteriaceae
Description: partial 16S ribosomal RNA
Rfam family: Bacterial small subunit ribosomal RNA
Source: RNAcentral